AGAGUUUGAUCCUGGCUCAGAGCGAACGUUGGCGGCGUGGAUGAGGCAUGCAAGUCGAACGUGAAAGGCUUCGGCCGAGUAAAGUGGCGAAAGGGUGAGUAGCACGUAAUCAACCUGCCCUCGAGACGGGGACGACCGCUGGAAACGGCGGCUAAUACCCGAUGUCGAUUCUUUACCACAUGGUGUUGGAUCGAAACGGUUGGGAUCCUACGGGACCUUCUGCUCGGGGAGGGGAUUGCGGCCUAUCAGCUAGUUGGUGAGGUAACGGCUCACCAAGGCGAUGACGGGUAGCCGGUCUGAGAGGAUGGUCGGCCACACUGGGACUGAGACACUGCCCAGACUCCUACGGAAGGCUGCAGUCGAGAAUCUUCCGCAAUGGACGCAAGUCUGACGGAGCGACGCCGCGUGGAGGAUGAAGGCCCUCGGGUUGUAAACUCCUGUCAGGGUUCAAAGAAUGGGUGGCGGUGAACAAUCGCCAUCUUGACACUAGGCCUAAAGGAAGCACCGGCUAACUCUGUGCCAGCAGCCGCGGUAAGACAGAGGGUGCAAACGUUGCUCGGAAUCACUGGGCAUAAAGCGCACGUAGGCGGCUGUGUAAGUGCGGUGUGAAAGCCCCCGGCCCAACCGGGGAAUUGCUCCGCAUACUGCGCAGCUAGAGCUUGAGAGGGGAGAGUGGAACUCCUGGUGGAGCGGUGGAACGCGUAGAUAUCAGGAGGAACGCCGGAGGUGAAGACGACUCUCUGGCUCAAUGCUGACGCUGAGGUGCGAAAGCUAGGGGAGCAAACGGGAUUAGAUACCCCGGGUAGUCCUAGCCCUAAACGAUGGGGCACUAGCUAGGGGGGAUUCCUAUGUCCUCUCUGGCGAAGCAAAUGUAUUAAGUGCCCCGCCUGGGGGAGUACGGUCGCAAGGCUAAAACUCAAAGGAAUUUGACGG
This 933-nucleotide ribosomal RNA is filed under the name uncultured Planctomycetota bacterium. RNAcentral's name for it is "bacterial SSU rRNA". It matches the Rfam family "Bacterial small subunit ribosomal RNA", at positions 8 to 916 of the family's 1533-position model. Lineage: Bacteria; Pseudomonadati; Planctomycetota. The record is from RNAcentral.